RNAcentral lists this microRNA (24 nucleotides) under Eptesicus fuscus (big brown bat). RNAcentral describes it as "efu-miR-9216". The record is from miRBase by way of RNAcentral. Lineage: Eukaryota; Metazoa; Chordata; Mammalia; Chiroptera; Vespertilionidae.
UCUGGAUGGUGGACAAACGGUGGC